Camelus dromedarius (Arabian camel) is the source of this 195-nucleotide long non-coding RNA. RefSeq lists it as uncharacterized. NCBI's taxonomy places the organism in Eukaryota, Metazoa, Chordata, Mammalia, Artiodactyla, Camelidae. The record is from RefSeq and is a predicted model, not a curated record. The transcript is spliced from 3 exons.
GCGGCCUCACUUGGAUGGAGAUGGGGUACUGAGCACCUGCCCCCACUCCCAGCGGGCGAGCGGAGGGCCUCCCGCCGCUCCCUCCGGGUGGACUAAAUGGUUACCAUUGUCAAGAAUGGAUCGAAGUUUCUGAUGGCAAGCUCAACAGUUAGACAUUAGGUAAUCAUUGGUCUGGCUGCGACACACAUACUCGAU